Molecule: ribosomal RNA, 410 nt
Filed under: uncultured bacterium
Lineage: Bacteria
Description: bacterial SSU rRNA
Rfam family: Archaeal small subunit ribosomal RNA
Source: RNAcentral
CCAGUCGAGAAUACUCCACAAUGCGCAUACGCGUGAUGGGGGGAAUCUGAGCGGUCCACUUCGGUGGACCUUUUGCCAAGUCCAGUCAGCUUGGCGAAUAAGUGCUGGGCAAGACCGGUGGCAGCCGCCACGGUAAUACCGGCAGCACAAGUGGUAUCCACGAUUAUUUGGCUUAAAGCGCUCGUAGCUGGUCGAUACCGUCUCAUGUGAAAUAUUGGCGCUCAACGUCAAUGCGUGCAUGAGAUACCUGUUGACUAGGGAGCGGGUGAGGUCAGGGGUACUCAUCGGGGAGGGGUAAAAUCCUGUAAUCCUAUGAGGACCAACGGUGGCGAAGGCGCCUGACCAGAACGCAUCCGACAGUGAGGAGCUAAGGCUAGGAGAACAAAUCGGAUUAGAUACCCGCGUAGUCC